This is a long non-coding RNA of Mya arenaria, 713 nucleotides long. RefSeq lists it as uncharacterized. The record is from RefSeq and is a predicted model, not a curated record. Lineage: Eukaryota; Metazoa; Mollusca; Bivalvia; Myida; Myidae. The transcript is spliced from 3 exons.
GUCUCACGCCUGAUAUAGAGGAAGCUUUUGGAGGGGUGGCCUAUUUUAAAUUGUUAUAAAUUCUUAAUUUAUACAGCUAUCUGCUUGAAAUUUGGCCAGUUGACAGUGCUUAGCCAUAGAAUAUUGGUGUUUGAGUAUGAAAUGUGAAAAUCUUAUAUUACAUAAUAUAAAUUAAUAAUAUAUAAUUUUCUUAUAUAUUUUUGACAUUUUUAAAAAAAACUACUUUCACUUUCAAUUUAAUGUUUGGAAAUAGUUCCAAAUGAUGGUAACUAAUGAAUGAAAGCCUCACUUUCAAUUCCAAAGUAUAAAUGGAGGGAUUUUUUUAACAUAGGAAGCAGACCCAGGAGGAACUGUCUGUUGAAGACCCCCCCCCCACCAAGCUGCCCACCAGAGGCCAAGCUGUACUUGGUGUUUGCCAACAUGCUGUAAUUUCCAGCCUGGUUGCUGUAGCCACAGAGGAAUUUUCAAGGACAAGAACCAGUGCUGGUAAAACUGUGGUCUCUGUGGUUUUCCAUACCGGCUCUCGGCAAGGAUUUUCAAGAAAGGAAUACCAUCUCCAAAUCAUGAUGUGCCAAUAAGCUCCAGUUAGCUGCGGCCUUUUCCCCUGGCGGUAGUCCUGCAAUCUGAAUCCAGGAGAUGCAGCUCUGAAUCCAAUAUUUCAGAAGAAUGAAGAUGUUAGUCAACUCUGUAGUGCUUGUUUGUGUGUAAAUGAU